This 262-nucleotide long non-coding RNA is filed under the name Equus asinus (donkey). RNAcentral describes it as "lncRNA (ENSEASG00005035054.1)". The record is from RNAcentral. Lineage: Eukaryota; Metazoa; Chordata; Mammalia; Perissodactyla; Equidae.
GAAGAAAUGAAAAUGUUUGUCUUAUAUCGACCUGCCCAGGAUGCAAUAGAGAAGAACAAGACUCAAGGAGAGAAAUGGAGACUUCCCUUAAGAAAUGCAUUAACUAAAUGUCAGCUAUACCCACUUCCUAAUGUGGUUCACUGGGAUGUCAGUGAAGGAAAUCAUGGCAGCUACUUCUGAAUUUAUUGAUCCCAAUUUUGGAAAGAGUUUCCAAGAGAAAAGGACAGCCAGUGUCACAAGUUGGCCAUCUAUUUGCAUCUGG